RNAcentral lists this ribosomal RNA (458 nucleotides) under uncultured soil bacterium. RNAcentral's name for it is "bacterial SSU rRNA". It matches the Rfam family "Bacterial small subunit ribosomal RNA", at positions 74 to 519 of the family's 1533-position model. The record is from RNAcentral.
CUUCCUUCGGGAAGUACUCGAGCGGCGAACGGGUGAGUAACACGUGGAUAAUCAACCUCUUGCUCUGGAAUACCCCGGGGAAACUCGGAUCAAUGCCAGAUAAAGUGCGGUGCUGUUGGGCGCCGUACCAAAGAUAGCUUCGGCCUUCGGCGAGAGACGAGUCCGCGGCCCAUUAGCUAGUUGGCGGGGUAAUGGCCCACCAAGGCUACGAUGGGUAGCUGGUCUGAGAGGAUGAUCAGCCACACUGGGACUGAGACACGGCCCAGACUCCUACGGGAGGCAGCAGUGGGGAAUCUUGCGCAAUGGGCGAAAGCCUGACGCAGCAACGCCGCGUGCGGGAGGAAGGCCUUCGGGUUGUAAACCGCUUUCAGGGGAGACGAAGCUUCCUGGGUUAAUAGCCCUGCGGAGUGACGGUAUCUUCAGAAGAAGUCCCGGCUAACUACGUGCCAGCAGCCGCG